GUUCUCAAAGGACUGCAGAAUUGUGUUCAUUAUACUUGAAACAAAGAUAUGCUCAAUAUUAACUCCACUGUGUUCAGAAGCUGAAAACAGAGCUCAGCUGUAGACAGUGGCUUGAUUAAUACCAGAUCUUUCCACAUUAUUAUUUACAAGGAGAGUUUUAGUUGCUUUUUCUGCAAAUAGUAUAACCUGAUUUAUUGUUAACUAUGCCUGGCCAUUUUUCUUAGAACCUAAUUCAUUAAGCCAGUAUUACUGAGGCAUUCUGAAAAAACCUUUAAACCCGAGGCAGUUAAUAUCAGAGUGAGUUUUGUUGGCUUUUUUUUUUUUUUUUUUUUGAAGUUUAUUUCUCUUAAACAAAUCAACAUUAAUGAGUGAGUACUGUGUGUUUCAUAGGUUUAGGGAUGUGGUAAAACAGGAUUAUUCAAGUUUGUCUUUUAAAAUUAUUGUGGUCCUGUAGUAAAACAACCUGUUAAUGUUAUUAUUUAAAUUAUUUCCAUCCAUUACCAUCAACGGAAAACAUGCUGUAAAAUCCUCUGGGAUCUUUUAUUACAAUUUCAGGUACAUUUAUAAGUGUCUUAAAACUUAAAGGAAGAGGAAAGAAGACAUACCUUUAUGAUUUUAUUCAAGUAUCAAUGUGAAUCUAUUUACAAUCAAAGAAAUUUACUUUUAAAAAGACCAAGCACAUGGAGUUUUGAAAGACAUAUGUCUAUGCCUUCCCUGUGGCAACUUCAUUGAUUCAUUCAACAGAAUAUUUAUCGAGCACCUAUUAUACCCAGUUGUGCGAUAGAGCCAUGAACAAACCAAGGUCCCUGCUCUCACGGAGGUCUCUUCUGAAGCAAAACCAGUAAACAAGCACACACAGGUCACGUCACAUGUGACCUAUGGAGAACAGUAAGGCAGGGCAUGGGAAAAGGGACUUUGUGUAUUGGAAUGAGGCCCUUUUCCACAGCAUGCUCAGAGUUGGACUCUAUUCAGGGACACUGGAGCAGAGACCGGAAGGCAGUGAGGCUGUGAGCCACAGCAGGCAUCGUGGGGAAGCGACCCAGGCAGGGGAGCAGGCAGACAUGAAGGACUGGGUGGGGGCGAGUUGGCGUAACUGGGAACAGCAAGAGGCCGGCGUGGCUGGAGUGGGAUGAAUGAGGAGGGGAGAUGGUUGGACAUGAGGCCAGAGAGACCGCUGUAAACUGAACGUGGUGUUGCCCCACAGAAUUCAUAUAUUGAAACCUAGUCCCCAACAUGAUGGCUGGAGGUAAAGCCUUUGGAAGGUGAUCAGGUCAUGAGGGUGGAGUCAUUAGGAAUGACAUUAGUGCUCUUAGAAAGGGGACCCAGAGAGCUUCCUCGCCCCCUCCACUGUGUGAAAACACAAUAAUGUGCCAUCUAUGAACAAGAGGGCCCUCCUCAGACACUCAAGUUGCUGGUGCCUUGGUCUUGGACUUCCCAGUCUCCAGAACUGUAAGAAAUACAUACAUUUCUGUCGUUUAUAAGCCACCCAGACUGUGGUGUUUUUUUAUAUCAGCCUGAGCAGACUAAGACCAACAGUCUCAAGUUCAGGGUCAAGGUCCAGGCUAGGGAUACAAUUUUGCAAAUCAAUAAUAUACUGAUAGCAUUGGAAGUUACGGGCCUGGGAGGGAUGGCAUAGGGAGUCAGUGCAGGCAGAGCAAAGGUCUGAUGAAUGAUCAUUCCACGAUUUAUUUAGAGCAGAUGAGAGGAAACCAGCACAAGGUAUUGAGAAGGAAUAGGUAGUGAGCUCAAAGGAGAAAUCAAAAAGUGAUGUUCAGAAAACAAGGCAAAGAAAGUCAUCCAGGAAGGAGGGAAUGAUCUACGGGCAAAUGCUGCAGAUAGAUCAAGUAAAAUGAGGACUGAGAACUGACCAUUUUAUACCACUUAUGGCAUAGAAGGUAAAUUCUUCAACCUCUCUGUUUCUCAGUUUCCUCACCCAUAACAUGGGGAAAAUAACGGUACCCGCCUUAGGGCUUAAGCAAGUGAAUACACGUAAAACACUUAGAACAGUAACUGGCACAUAGUAGGUGCCAGUCAACAAAUAUUUGUAGAAUGAAUGAACGUGUUAUAAUGAUCAGAUUACAAUUAUUAUCUAUUACAAAUGUUAUUUAGUCUUGAUUAUCAUCAGUGACCUUCAUAAGAGCUUUUGAUUGAGUGGUGGCAGCUAAAAGAUAAAUGGAGUGGGUUCAAGAGAGGAUAGAGAUGAGAAACUGGAAACAGAGAGUAUAAACACGCAUUUUAAAAAUAAAUUUGCUGCAAAGAUAAUCAAAGAAAUGGAACAGGCCAAGUGCAGUGGCUCACGCCUGCUAUCCGUUUAGGGGGAGACAGGAGGAUUGCUUGAGCCCGGGAGUUCAAGACCAGCCUGGAAAAUGUAGCAAGACCCCAUCUCUCAAAAAAAAUUUAAAAAUUAGCCGGGUAUGGUAGCAUGCACCUGUAAUACCAGCUACUUUGGAGGCUGAUGAAGGAGGAUGACUUGAGCCCAGGAGUUCAAGGCUACAGGGCUACAGUGAGCUGUGGUUACGCCACUACGCUCCAGCCUGGGUGACAGGUAAGACCCUGUCUCUAAAAAAAAAGAAAGAAAGAAAGAAAGAAAAGAAAGGGGACAGUAGUUAAUGAGAUGUGUGAGGUUAAGAGAAAUUUAUUUUUUAAGUUGGGAGUUAUAAUAGCAUUUUUGUAUGCUAAAAGGAGUGAUUCAAUCAAGAGAGAAGAAAUGAUGAUACAGAAAGAGGAGAACGCUCUGCCAGAGGGUGCUCGAGCCCACUAGAAGUUAAUGGUCAUAAACUGGAAACAGUCACCACGGCUGUGUUCUGUUCCACCCAGGCUCAGCUGGGCACAGACAGGUACAGAGGACAUGGGCAACUGGAUUUUACCAAGGCUGUAGUUUUGCAAGGAGAGUGGGAUGAAGAGAGAGAUGGGUAAAGAAGUUAAUGUUAUAAGAUAGUAAAGCAAGGUAAUGAUUAGAUAAUCAAGGACUCCAAACUAGACAAUGAGAGACAUGAAGACAUGAGGUAGGUGAGAAAGGGGGAAAAGAUGAUAGGAUGGAUGGAUUUUGCACUUCAGUGAGGUGGAAGAAUUGUUUUCAGUCAAGGUUUUAGGAGAGAAGAAAGAGGUGGUGAUCAGAGAAUGGGAUGCUUGAAAUGAGAUGAUGGAGCUGGAGCAUAACAGAUAAUGACUGCAUUAUCAGUCUUUACAACCGGUAAUAAGCUCUAGGGUAUAGUUACGGAAAUGGGGGGCUGAGGUUGAGUGAAGAACAAGGUCAUCGGAGAAGAGGAGAUUAAGGACCUGAGAAGCCAGAGUACCGAAGGAUUGUCUACAAGAACACUGAAAUCACAGGUGUUACUGUCUGACAAGUAGGGUUGGUGUACUGAUAGCACUCCAGGAGCGUCAAUCCACAAGGAACAAGGUGGCAUGGAUCAGAGAUGAAUAGAUGACUGCAACAAUGAUCUGGUGGCCAGAGAUGCAAAGCCAGGGGUCUCCAGGAGGAGGGAAGGAUGAUCAUGGAGCAGUGAUGAGGCGCUAGCACCAAACGUGGUGGUUCAGGGUGUGGGGACAAAGCAGAUGUGGCUUGAGAGGACUUCGGGGAGCAGUUAGGAAGAUAAGGUAAAGGGACUGUAUUAGUCUGUUCUUGCAUUGCUAUAAAAAAAUACCUGAGGGCCAGGUGCGGUGGCUCACGCCUGUUAUCCCAGCACUUUGGGAGGCCGAGGCAGGUGGAUCACGAGGUCAGGAGUUCAAGACCAGCCUGGCCAAGAUGGUGAAACCCUGACUCUACUAAAAAUACACACACACAAAAAAAAAUUAGCCAGGUGUGGUGGCAGGUGCCUGUAAUCCCGGCUACUCGGGAGGCUGAGGCAGGAGAAUCGCUUGAACCCAGGGGGCAGAAGUUGCAGUGAGCCGAGAUCAUGCCACUGCACUUCAGCCUGGGAAACAGGGUAAAACUCUGUCUCAAAAAAAAAAAAAAAGAAAGAAAGAAAGAAAAAGAAAUACCUGAGACUGGGGAAUUUACAAGAAGAGAGGUUUCACUGGCGCACGGUUCUACAGGCUGUCCAGGAAGCAUGGUGGCAUCUGCUUCUGGGGAGGCCUCAGGCAGCUUCCAAUCGCGGCAGAAGGCAAAGUGGGAGCAGGCAGUUUACACCGUGAAAGCAGGAGCAAGAAAGAGCAAGGAAGGAGGCGCCACACACUUGUAAACAACCAGAUCUCACGAGAACUCACUCACUAUCACGAGAACAGCAGCAAGGGGAACGGUGCUUAGCCAUUCGUGAGAAACCACCCCCGAGAUCCAGCCACCUCCCACCAGGCCCCACCUCCCACGCUGGGAUCACAACUGAACAUGAGAUGUGGGCAGGGACACAGAUCCACACCAUCACGAGGACCUCUCAGGAAAGGCGCUGAGGGUGUGGGGAAUUUUGCUGAUAACGUGCUGUGUGUUCCCGUGGAAAGGCGUGGUGAGUGGAAGGUUGCAGCUUCAUGAAUUAUAAGUCAACAUCUCACGCCCAAAUAUAUCUAUUUUACUUGCAAUUUUUCUGGCCUGUCAAAACCGUCAAGCACUGACAAGAAUAAUACACUGGGUUUUGCGGCUGGCACGAAUGAAGUCGUUAUCAAUUAUGAGAAGAAAAAUUGCGUUUAAAUGUCAAUUACAAAGAUGACUCCUACCUAUAACCUACUGCCAAAAAUGUAAAAGCUAAAGUUUAAGAAUUUAGCAUGAACUUUAUGAAAAUUCUAUAUUCAUUUUCAUAGCAGCCUUCGUUAUGCUGAUUUGAACACAGACCUGAGUGUAUACAGGAUAAUAAUUACCCUGGCAGAGCAGAGGCAGAAUGGAGAUAUUCCUCAUAAAGACAUAAAUUGUGGUAGGAAAAAAAAAAAAGAUUGCAUGGAACUUUUUAAUGUUUUAAAUGGUUUUUAUGUAUUAAAGGCAUGAGGUGGCCCUGAUCUGAAAUCUCACAUGAUCCUCCUGUAAAUGCAUUAACUAUCUUCUUCCAACACAUCACACCCAAAUAACUAAUACACUCCACAGACCAAAGGAAGUCAUUUAUCAAAUUCAACCAUAAACAAACUUAUAGUGAAGACAGACACCUGAAAUAUAUAUUUAUGGCUCUCCCUUUCCAAAAUAAACACUAAUCUAAAUUCUUUUUUUUUUUUUUUGAGAUGGAGUCUCGCUCUGUUGCCCAGGCUGGAGUGCAGUGGUGUGAUCUCGGCUCACUGCAAGCUCCGCCUCCCAGCUUAAAGCAAUUCUCCUGCCUCAGCCUCCCAAGUAGCUG
Molecule: long non-coding RNA, 5252 nt
Filed under: Homo sapiens (human)
Lineage: Eukaryota; Metazoa; Chordata; Mammalia; Primates; Hominidae
Description: HSALNT0025257
Source: RNAcentral